RNAcentral lists this ribosomal RNA (583 nucleotides) under uncultured Pseudolabrys sp. RNAcentral's name for it is "bacterial SSU rRNA". It matches the Rfam family "Bacterial small subunit ribosomal RNA", at positions 338 to 917 of the family's 1533-position model. Lineage: Bacteria; Pseudomonadati; Pseudomonadota; Alphaproteobacteria; Hyphomicrobiales; Xanthobacteraceae. The record is from RNAcentral.
CCUACGGGAGGCAGCAGUCGGGAAUUUUGGGCAAUGGGCGAAAGCCUGACCCAGCAACGCCGCGUGAAGGAUGAAAUCCCUCGGGAUGUAAACUUCGCAAGAACGGGAAGAAUAAGUAGGGGACAAUACCCCCUAUGAUGACGGUACCGUUUGUAAGCUCCGGCUAACUCCGUGCCAGCAGCCGCGGUAAUACGAAGGGGGCUAGCGUUGUUCGGAAUUACUGGGCGUAAAGCGUAUGCAGGCGGAUCGUUAAGUCAGGGGUGAAAUCCCGAGGCUCAACCUCGGAACUGCCUUUGAUACUGACGAUCUUGAGUCCGGGAGAGGUGAGUGGAACUGCGAGUGUAGAGGUGAAAUUCGUAGAUAUUCGCAAGAACACCAGUGGCGAAGGCGGCUCACUGGCCCGGUACUGACGCUGAGAUACGAAAGCGUGGGGAGCAAACAGGAUUAGAUGCCCUGGUAGUCCACGCCGUAAACGAUGAAUGCUAGCCGUCGGUGGGCAUGCCCUUCGGUGGCGCAGCUAACGCAAUAAGCAUUCCGCCUGGGGAGUACGAUCGCAAGAUUAAAACUCAAAGGAAUUGACGGA